This 253-nucleotide ribosomal RNA is filed under the name uncultured bacterium. Its description in RNAcentral is "partial 16S ribosomal RNA". It matches the Rfam family "Bacterial small subunit ribosomal RNA", at positions 524 to 776 of the family's 1533-position model. The record is from RNAcentral.
UACGUAGGGUGCGAGCGUUGUCCGGAAUUACUGGGUGUAAAGGGUCCGUAGGCGGGCCGGCAAGUCGGUGGUGAAAGUUCGCGGCUCAACCGCGAAAUUGCCAUCGAUACUGCUGGUCUUGAAUCCGAGAGAGGAUGAUGGAAUUCAUGGUGUAGCGGUGAAAUGCGUAGAGAUCAUGAAGAACACCAGUAGCGAAGGCGGUCAUCUGGCUCGGUAUUGACGCUCAGGGACGAAAGCGUGGGUAGCAAACAGG